UCGAGACCAUCCUGGUCAACAUGGUGAAACCCCGUCUCUACUAAAAAUACAAAAAAUUAGCUGGGCAUGGUGGCGCGUGCCUGUAAUCCCAGCUACUCAGGAGGCUGAGGCAGGAGAAUUGCCUGAACCCAGGAGGCAGAGGUUGCAAUGAGCCGAGAUCGCACCAUUGCCCUCCAGCCUGGGUAACAAGAGCAAAACUCCAUCUCAAAUAAUAAUAAAAUAAAUAAAAAUAAAAAACACCUGGUGGACUUGGUCAGAGGGAUAGAGCUUGUCACCGUCCUGCCCACUUUUCGCUUCCCAGCUCCAUGUCCUGCUCUCACUCUCCAGCCUUGUCCCACGACCAACCCAACCAAACUUCUGAAAGGGUUUCUUGUGUCCUAAGAAGUGACUGAUCCUCACACCCUUGAUGCAUAUGUUCACAGGAUUUGUGAUUCAAAGCGCAUACAUUUGGAUAUGUUAGGGAAGAGUUUGAGAAGCAGUCCUGUUAAUGUCUGAGAUAAUUUAAAAUCAUUUCCUGGCAACUCAUCAGAAGCAGUGUGGGGUGUUGGCAAGAGGCUGCCCCUGGGGAAGAACACUGGGUUCUGUCCUCCUUGGCCUAUGACCUGAAGCAAGUUACUAACUUCUCCAAGCCUCAGUUUUCCCAGCAGUAAAAUGGGGGUGAUAAUUAUCUGCAAAGUGAGGCUAGUAUCAGCCUGGGGUUUCCCACAGGGUGGUUGUAAAGAUAAAAUGCAGUAAAUGUCUGUGCGGGCAACUGACGAGACCAGAAUCCCUGGCAUCCAGUUAUUACUGAGAUGUCAUGGGAAAGGAGUUCUGAUGCAUUCAUUCAAACUCAUCUAUUUAACAACUGUGCUUUGAAGGCUGGCCACGUCCCAGACCUGCUGCUGAGAGGUGAGCUCUGUGGCUCUCAGCUUCAGUCCCACCGUAGUGCCAGGCACAGAGGCUCACAUAGCCUCCAGCCAUAGGGGUUUUAAUGAUUCGGGUGCCCCAUGGUUUGGGGGUUUAGUUUUUCUCCAUGAUUUGGAUCCAGGAAGAGGGACCGUAGGAGCGCUGGCUCCUGGGUCUGCCUUGGCCUCCAGAGCCCGCAGCAGAGCAGUUCCUCAGCUGUCAGGACACUGGCUUUCCCUCCUCCACACCAUCUGUUCUUUCUGCACUUCCUAACUGCUGCUUGCUCACUUCGACUUUCACCCUUCCUCAGCCCUCUGAACUCUACACAUCAGGAUUUGGCAUGACUUCCCUUCCCCGCCUGUUCUCUAGAGAGGCAGUCUCUUGGUGACUCCUGAUUUGGGUCAGCCUCAGGCCUCUGGAUGGCUACCGACCCCAGCUUCCCUCAGCUCUCACCCCAUCAGGGAGAAUGCCUCAGGAGCACCUAGGGCAGCCCUUUCAGCCUGGGCUGUGGGAAGAGAACGUGGAUCUGUCUCCAUUCCCAGGCCUUUGUUCCCUGUUAAUGCAGAAGCAUCCUGGGCUCUGUGUCUUAGUCCCUGUGUCAGUUGAAGGACUCGAGGCAAGCUGCACCACAAGCUUCAAUUGCCUUAUCUAUCAAAUAGUAAUAUUUAGCAUUCUGGAGACAGAAGUUGAUCCUUUGGGACUUUUUGGUUUUGAGAUCUAGGCUUCGGGCCAGCUGCAGUGGCACAUGCCUGUAAUACCAGCACUUUCGGAGGGUGAGGUGGGUGGAUCACUUGAGUUCAGGAGUUAAGGUUAGAGACCAGACUGGCCAACGUGACAAAACUCCGUCUCUACUAAAAACACAAAAAUAUUAGCCAGGCAUGGUAGCAACAUGCCUGUAAUCCCAACUGCUUGGGAGGCUGAGGCAUGAGAAUCACUUGAACCCAGGAGGUGGAGGCUGCAGUGAGUCGAGAUUGUGCUAUUGCACUCCAGCCUAAGUGAUGAGCAAGACCCUGUCUUUUUUUUUGAGAGACAGGGUCUCACUCUGUUGCCCAGGCUGGAGAGCAGUGGCACAAUCUUGGCGCACUGCAGCCUCUGUGUCCCAAGUUCAAGUGAUCCUCCCACCUCAGCCUGUAGCUGGGAUUAUAGGCGUGAACCACCGCACCAGGCCGGGAUUGUUUCAAAAAAAAAAAGAACAACCACCACCUAGGCUUCCUUAUUAAUAUGUAUUUAUUCUUUUUUUUUUCUUUUACAUUUUUUUUUCAUAUUUUUUGCUGCUGGAGCCCACACCCCAGUGGGUCAGGGCGGUGCCAUCCCUUACUAAUACCUUAACAAAUAAUUACAUAUUUGCUUCUUCCCAAAUUUGGCAGCAAGUAAACUUUUACAUAUUUUUUCUUUUUUUUUUGAGACAGAGUUUCGCUCUUGUUACCCAGACUGGAGUGCAAUGGCGCGAUCUCGACUCACCGCAGCCUCCGCCUCCUGGAUUCAAGCAGUUCUCCUGCCUCAGCCUCCCGAGUAGCUGGGAUUACAGGCGCGCACCACCAUUCCCAGCUAAUUUUUGUAUUUUUAGUAGAGAGUCGGUUUCACCUCGUUGACCAGGAUGGUCUCGAUCUCUUGACCUCGUGAUCCACCCUCCUCGGCCUCCCAAAGUGGUGCUGGGAUUAUAGGCGUGAGCCACCGUGCCCGGCGUACAUAUUUUUUCUUAAGCACAUUUGUUUCUGCAGUUAGUCUGGCCUCUAGAGCUCGUGGAUUGCAGCACCCAUGACGAGAGCACCAGAGCUGCAGCGCUGGCAGCUCCUCUGCCGACUAACCAUGUAUUCUUUAAAGAUGGAGUUUCGCCAUGAUGACCAGGCUGGUUUUGAACUCCUGACCUCAGGUGAUCCACCCACCUCAGCCUCCCAAAGUGCUAGGAUUAUAGGCGUGAGCCACUGCGCCCAGCUUCCUCAGUGUUUGUUUAGACUUUUGGGUGUAGGGCUUUGGACAGGUGUUUAAGGACCUGGACUGGACGAAGUUUAUGUCCUCUUCACAUGAUGGGAACUCUCACAGCCCCGAGCAGUGCAUUCCAGAUUGGCCGAUCUGGCAAGCUAAAGCCAACGGUUAUCUCACUGUUUCUGCAGGGCAGGAAUCUGGGAUUGGCUGGACUGGAUAAGCUUGCAGUGCUGCUGAUGGCCAGGGCUGUGGUUGUCAGAGCUUGACCGGCGCUAGAGGACCUUCGUCCAGGGUGGAGCACUCACACAGCUGUUGCCAGAAGGCCUCGGCUCCUCAUCACAUGGGCCCAUCCUAGGGCUCGCCUGACCUUGCGGCUUCCCUGGAGCUGCUGACGACCAGAGGGCAGGAACCACAUGGCCUUUUCCAAUCACACCCUAGAAGUGACCGUCACUUUUGCUGCAGCCAGGCACCAGAUGGGUUAUGUCUUCACCACAUCAUUCCCAGCCAGCCACAGUCAGCAGGACUGCCCGCGAUGCCUGCUGGAUGGAACCUGGAGGCUCCCUCAAGGAUGGUGGUCUCAUGCCAUCAGGCGACAGGUUAUCACCGGCUCGUCCUGGAUCCCAGUGGCCUCUGACCAUCAUAGGUUCUCAGCCCAUCAGUGGUGGAUCUGCUGCUCUGGAGUUUCCCAUGAACCACAUUGGAAUUUCGAUGGCUACAGCUGACAAGGAAGAGGCUCAGUCACCCGUGACACAUCUCAGCCUUUUCUGCCAACAGCGAAAAGAAACUACUUGGCUGGCCUCGGUGGCUCACACCUGUAAUCCCAGCAUGUUGGGAGGCAAAGAGGGGUGCAUCACUUGAGGUUAGGAGUUCAAGGCCAGCCUGGCCAACAUGGUGAAACCCAUCACUACUAAAAAAAUACAAACAAAAAAGCCAGGAAUGGUGGCGUGCACCUGUAAUCCCAGAUGCUCGGGAGGCUGAGGCCGGAGAAGCACUUGAACCCGGGAGGUGGAGGUUGUGUGAACUGAGAUUGCACCACUGCACUCUAGCCUGGGCAACAAGAACGAAACUCUGUCUCAAAAAAAAAAAAAAAAAAAAAAGGUGGGUUUUCUGGAUGAGAGGUUUGUGGCUGCAGAGAACGAAAGGACUGGAAAUGAAAGAUACUUUCUGUAGGGUAGCAGGGAAUGGCCCGUAACAGAUACUGGUUGAGCAACCACACUACAUGGGGCAUUGUCCUAGAAAACGGCCCAUCCUCAGUGAGCUUCCAUUCUGUUGACAGAACAAAAGCACAGCAAACAAAGCACAUGGCGAGCAGGACAACGAGAGGCUUUGGACAGAGUCUGCGAUGCCACAGGCAGGGCAAACUUCACAGAAAAGAGGACUUUACCUGCAAAUUUUUUUUUUUUAAAGACGGGGUUCUACCAUGUUGGUCAGGCUGAUCUUGAACUCCUGACCUCAGGUGAUCCACCUGCCUUGGCCUCCAAAGUGCUUGGAUUACAGGCCACCACACCCGGCCUACCUGCUAACUUUUAAAUUUUUUGUAGAGAUGGAGUUUCGCUCUUGUUACCCAGGCUGGAGUGCAAUGGUGCGAUCUUGGCUCAUCGCAUCCUCUACCUCCUGGGUUCAGGCAAUUCUCCUGCCUCAGCCUCCUGAGUAGCUGGGAUUACAGGCACGCGACACCAUGUCCAGCUAAUUUUUUGUAUCUUUAGUAGAGACGGGGUUUAACCAUUUUGACCAGGAUGGUCUCGAUCUCUUGACCUCGUGAUCUACCCUCCUCGGCCUCCCAAAGUGCUGGGAUUACAGGCUUGAGCCACCGCACCCGGCUGAGAUGGAGUUUCUAUGUCGCCAAGGCUGGUCUUGAAGUCCUGGGCUCAGGCGAUCCUCCCACCUCAGCUUCCCAGUGUUGGCAUCACAGGCGUAAGCCACUGCACCUGGCCAAAUGACUAUCUUAGAAAGGGACUUUAGAGCCCUCACUAAGAUGAGGUGCAGGAGCAAAAGGAAGUGCAUAUCCCCAGGACAGGAGAAGCUGCGGAGAGAGAGGCCUGGCCAGCCCAGUCGGUGUGGCCAGCUGGGAGGGGCAGGUAGCAGGGGAGGGGCAUAGACCAGGGAGUGCUGGAGAGUCCGAGGGUAAGUGCUGCUGAGGACUAAUAAGCAGUAGUGUGGUAAAAGCACUACUUUGGCUGCUGGGAGGAGAAUGGACUCUAGAGAGGCCAGAAGUGAGAAUGUGAGGCCAGGGAGCAGGGAAGAGGCUUUUGCAGCUGUGCCAGGAGGUCAGGACCCAGGCAGGAGGGAGGCAGGGGGCUGGUUCUCCAAGAGGCUCCAGUAAAGGCUGGGUGUCUUGGUGCUCACUCUGGGCUGCCUUUUCUGAUCUGCAGCCCCAGGAAGAGGCCAGCGUGUGGCACCUGGUGGCCCAGCAGCUGAGAGGGUUGAGGGUGAGUCUCCAGAACAGGGCAGACACCACCUCAGUGCGGAUGUGGAGCAGGAGCAGUGCUUUAUUUUCAUUGUAACUUAAAGGGCUGCUUUGACAAGGAACAGAUCGUUUCUACAUAAAAUCUCAACCAUGGCCGGCCCACUUAAGACCCCUCUCCUCAGGAAUCCGUGGACAAACAGAACUACACAAGUGGACUCUGGCUGGCGCUGGGAGUUUCUUGGGUGCUCUCAGAAUGCAUUUCUGGUUUCUGGAAGGCUCAGGGAGCUCUGGCUGGGGGGCACGAGGGCUGAUCAGGUCAAGUUCAAGAUUACCUGGAGAUUAGAAGGGUACUUCGAGUUUAGAUAUGCCUGCAACCAAAGCAUGCAAUUCGGGUUUGACCAUCCCUGUCCCUGUUUAUUUAAUUUUUUCUUUUUUUGAGACGGAGUUUCGCUCUUGUUACCCAGGCUGGAGUGCAAUGGCACGAUCUCGGCUCACCACAACCUCCACCUCCUGGGUUCAGGCGUUUCUCCUGCCUCAGCCUCCCAAGUAGCUGGGAUUACAGGCACGCACCACCGUGCCCAGCUAAUUUUUUGUAAUUUUUAGUAGAGACAGGGUUUCACCAUGUUGACCAGGAUGGUCUCGAUCUGUUGACCUCGUGAUCCACCUGCCUCGGCCUCCCAAAGUGCUGGGAUUACAGGCUUGAGCCACCGCGCCUGGCCAAUUUUUUUUUUUUUAAAGACGGGGUUUCACCAUGUUGGUCAUGCUGGUCUUGAACUCCUGACCUCAGGUGAUCUGCCCGCCUUGGCCUCCAAAGUGCUUGGAUUACAGGUGUGAGCCACCACGCCCGGCCUUUUUUUUCUUUCUGUCCCUGCUGUUUUAUGUUUUAUUUAGCUUGAUGGUUUUCUUCAGCCCUGAGGCCGUCCUAUAUGAACUUACAGUUUCGUAAACAGAACAGACAAAAUAGAACAAACUCCAUAGACUAUGUUUGCAACACUUGACUGGUGAGGGGAAGAACCGAAGCGCUUGUCUAGGACCAUGUGGGCUAGGAUGACACCGUGGCUCCCGGGGGCCUAGAGGAGCUGGCCUCCCUGCAGCGUGGAGACCACGGGGGAAUGACUGACAGUAAUUUAACAGCCAGUAGCACUUCUAUAUUUAAGUCAUACAAAACCUAUUCUUUAAUUUUCUGGAAAAAAUUAAAGUUGCUUCUGAGUGGG
Callithrix jacchus (white-tufted-ear marmoset) is the source of this 6432-nucleotide non-coding RNA. The record is from RefSeq and is a predicted model, not a curated record. NCBI's taxonomy places the organism in Eukaryota, Metazoa, Chordata, Mammalia, Primates, Cebidae.